This 234-nucleotide unclassified non-coding RNA is filed under the name Hevea brasiliensis (rubber tree). The record is from RNAcentral. Lineage: Eukaryota; Viridiplantae; Streptophyta; Magnoliopsida; Malpighiales; Euphorbiaceae.
ACCCAAGAAUGGAUCUAUCAUACUUGAUAACAGCUAUUUGCAUGCCCAGACAUAUGCCCAGGUAAGGAAUCAUGUUUUCACGGGCAUAUUUGGCAGAAAGUAUUUUACCCUCCACACAUCUAGCACCAAAUACUCCAGGCAGCUUACACCCCUAUUAACAGAUGACUCCGAUAGGCAUCCCAAGAGUAUACAAGAUUAAGUAGGGACACUAGGCGAGAAACAAUCAAACUCAAA